This 251-nucleotide unclassified non-coding RNA is filed under the name Hevea brasiliensis (rubber tree). The record is from RNAcentral. Lineage: Eukaryota; Viridiplantae; Streptophyta; Magnoliopsida; Malpighiales; Euphorbiaceae.
CUUUGUCAGCCAGAAUUGUAAGAAUACAAAAAUGAUUUUUCUGGAGAAUGUAAUGAAUAGUAGCUUCCUAAUUGUACCUUCUUCAUGUUACAUUUGAUUCUUUGUUAUGUUAGAAUGUUGUGUGCAUGUGCUAUGUGAAUGCUUUGAUUGUCCUGUGUAAAUGUUCAUAUGACAGUGCCUGUAAUUAUGCUUGUAAUUGUGUAGAUUGUGAGUACCAUCAAUACUAUAACUACCUGAUGCCUGGAGGAAAG